AGAUAGACGAUGGUCCAAA
RNAcentral lists this non-coding RNA (19 nucleotides) under Arabidopsis thaliana (thale cress). Lineage: Eukaryota; Viridiplantae; Streptophyta; Magnoliopsida; Brassicales; Brassicaceae. The record is from RNAcentral.